GACGAACGCUGGCGGCGUGCUUAACACAUGCAAGUCGAACGGAAAGGCCCUGCUUGCAGGGUACUCGAGUGGCGAACGGGUGAGUAACACGUGGGUGAUCUGCCCUGCACUUCGGGAUAAGCCUGGGAAACUGGGUCUAAUACCGGAUAGGAGCCAUUUUUAGUGGGAUGGUUGGAAAGUUUUUUCGGUGUAGGAUGAGCUCGCGGCCUAUCAGCCUGUUGGUGGGGUAAUGGCCUACCAAGGCGGCGACGGGUAGCCGGCCUGAGAGGGUGGACGGCCACAUUGGGACUGAGAGACGGCCCAGACUCCUACGGGAGGCAGCAGUGGGGAAUAUUGCACAAUGGGCGCAAGCCUGAUGCAGCGACGCCGCGUGGGGGAUGACGGCCUUCGGGUUGUAAACUCCUUUCGCUAGGGACGAAGCUUUUUGUGACGGUACCUAGAUAAGAAGCACCGGCUAACUACGUG
RNAcentral lists this ribosomal RNA (465 nucleotides) under uncultured bacterium. Its description in RNAcentral is "partial 16S ribosomal RNA". It matches the Rfam family "Bacterial small subunit ribosomal RNA", at positions 28 to 507 of the family's 1533-position model. The record is from RNAcentral.